This 349-nucleotide ribosomal RNA is filed under the name uncultured bacterium. RNAcentral's name for it is "bacterial SSU rRNA". It matches the Rfam family "Bacterial small subunit ribosomal RNA", at positions 917 to 1269 of the family's 1533-position model. The record is from RNAcentral.
GGGCCCGCACAAGCGGUGGAGCAUGUGGUUUAAUUCGAUGAUACGCGAGGAACCUUACCAGGGCUUAAAUGCAGAACGACCGGGAUGGAAACAUCCCUUUCUUCGGACGGUCUGCAAGGUGCUGUCAUGGUUGUCGUCAGCUCGUGCUGUGAAGUGUCGGGUUAAGUCCCAUAACGAGCGCAACCCCUAUUUCUAGUUGCCAGCGGUUCGGCCGGGGACUCUAGAGAAACUGCCAGCGUAAGCUGUGAGGAAGGUGGGGAUGACGUCAAAUCAUCACGGCCUUACGUCCUGGGCCACACACGUGCUACAAUGGUGGGGACAACGAGUCGCAAAGGGGCGACCUGGAGCA